This is a long non-coding RNA of Culex quinquefasciatus (southern house mosquito), 582 nucleotides long. RefSeq lists it as uncharacterized. The record is from RefSeq and is a predicted model, not a curated record. The transcript is spliced from 3 exons. Lineage: Eukaryota; Metazoa; Arthropoda; Insecta; Diptera; Culicidae.
AGAACUUCAAGCACAGGCCGUUCAUCAAUGACAAAUGCAUUCGAUGUGGUGAAGAAUAUCAGGCAUAGAAGACCUCAUCAUGACAUCUUAAGGAAGGCGACUUAUGGAAUUUCAACAUUCACAAUAAAACAUGUUAACAUUAGUUGAGUGAAAACUGCCGCUGAAUCCGCUUUGCGAAUGCCACUAAGGUUGUUCCCCUUAGUAUAGGAGAACUGGGACGGAUUAACUUAGAGACGACGGAACGGAAAAAACACUCAGAUCUUACAUUCACAUCGGUUAAAACACUUUUUGGUCAUCAAAGUCUUAAUACUCUUCAGUGUUGAUUUCUUAAGGCAAUAUUUUAUCCAUCCACCCAUCAAGCACCGCAGAAAACAAAACAAAAUCGAGCCGGCGUAUGGGAAGUCUUCAUGGAAUAACCUGGGUGCAGAAUAGUCGUCGGCAAAACGGCCUCAAUUUAGAACUGUCAAAGCGGAACCAAUUUACUGUUCGCAAAAGGAUAGCAAGGAGUGGCAAGUAUUGUGUUCGAUCUGUAAUUUAUUUUGAGGAAUAAAAAAAGUCGAUGAAGUCGAGCUUUUGAGGUAU